UACAGAGGGGGCAAGCGUUGUUCGGAAUUACUGGGCGUAAAGGGCUCGUAGGCGGCCAACUAAGUCAGACGUGAAAUCCCCGGGCUCAACCCGGGAACUGCGUCCGAUACUGGAAGGCUUGAAUUCGGGAGAGGGAUGCGGAAUUCCAGGUGUAGCGGUGAAAUGCGUAGAUAUCUGGAGGAACACCGGUGGCGAAGGCGGCAUCCUGGACCGGCAUUGACGCUGAGGCGCGAAAGCCAGGGGAGCAAACGGG
Molecule: ribosomal RNA, 253 nt
Filed under: uncultured bacterium
Lineage: Bacteria
Description: partial 16S ribosomal RNA
Rfam family: Bacterial small subunit ribosomal RNA
Source: RNAcentral